Asparagus officinalis (garden asparagus) is the source of this 373-nucleotide long non-coding RNA. RefSeq lists it as uncharacterized. The record is from RefSeq and is a predicted model, not a curated record. NCBI's taxonomy places the organism in Eukaryota, Viridiplantae, Streptophyta, Magnoliopsida, Asparagales, Asparagaceae. The transcript has 3 exons.
UCCCAAUGUAGAUAUCCAGGGGUGAUGUCGUAUGCAAGAAGGAACUCAGUUUUGGCUUAGUCGUUGCUUAAAAAGAUGUUUGAAGGUGAUGUUUUUUGGUCUAGGGGGAAUCCUCUCAUCACGAUUCCCAACAGUCAAAUGCUUUUCCAGGUGCAUUGAACUAAUGGGUAUGCCUCACCAAAGAACUAGCAGGACGGUUGCUUUCCAAUUUCAGCAGCACUGAGGCCAACAGCACAACCUAAAGGUGGCGUGAGCACUCCAUGAGCUGAUGUUGAUGACUGUAAUGAUGUGUGGGCCAAAUAGUCGAUUGCCUGCGUAAAGGUUAGUCCUUUUGUUUUUGGUGAUUGAACAAAAUCAAUGGGAUUUAUUUAUU